UCGAGUCUUUGAACGCAAGUUGCGCCCGAGGCCAGCCGGCCGAGGGCACGUCCGCCUGGGCGUCAAGCAUCGCGUCGCUCCGUGCCAGUUCCGUCCCGCCAAUGGGCGUGCCGGUCGUGGCGCGGAUGCGUAGAGUGGCUCGCCGUGCCCCCGUGCGCG
RNAcentral lists this ribosomal RNA (159 nucleotides) under Anthogonium gracile. Its description in RNAcentral is "5.8S ribosomal RNA". Lineage: Eukaryota; Viridiplantae; Streptophyta; Magnoliopsida; Asparagales; Orchidaceae. The record is from RNAcentral.